Non-coding RNA from Cicer arietinum (chickpea), 1249 nucleotides. The record is from RefSeq and is a predicted model, not a curated record. Lineage: Eukaryota; Viridiplantae; Streptophyta; Magnoliopsida; Fabales; Fabaceae.
ACUAAAAAAUUAGAAAAAACAUGCGCCAAUCCAUUCUUCUUCCUCUUGCGCAAGCUUCACUUCAUCCUUCACCCUUCAGGGCUUCAUCCUUCAAUGCAAACUCACCAUUCAUCCUUCAAUGCGAACUCAUGAUUCAUCCUUCAACACAAAUUCGAUGAACUUUAUCAUUUAGUGCGAACUCAUAUGAACUUCAACUUUCAAUCUUCCUAAAUUUUGUUUUCACUCUCUCAAUCAACAGGAAGAGAAUCAGGACUGUGCUGAAGCUGAAAUGCCUUUGUCUGAUAAAAAAUGUUAUUCUUUAACGAAUGAUGGAAAAAAGAAAAUUAAAAGCAGUGGAAAGAAGGUGCCAAAAUUCAACGAGAGAAUUAAGUAUCCUUACUUGGAAGAGGAUCAUAUUGCUGAGGCAUGUCAUGUGUGUUGUGGUAAUUGCAAUUACAAAGCAUGCUUGCGAUCAACUGCAUUUAUCAAUGAACAUGAGACAUAAUCAUCUUGAUGGUCCGUUGUCUGCUGAAUUUGGCAAACUCAGAAACAUACAAAUUAUUGAUAUGUCCUUCAACAACCUUUUGGGGAGCAUUCCUCCAAAUUGGCCUUAAGGAUAUGGUAACAGAGUGGUCAUAGAGGUUUUUUUUAUUUCCUUACCAAAGUUUUAUUAGUUUUCUAUCUGUAUCUAGUGUGCUUUUGAUUUGUAUGUUAUUCUGUAGUUAGUGGAUGCUUCAACUUGGAAGAGAGAGGUUGCCGAGGGGGUUGAUCUCAUGGUUGUAAGGGAACUAACUAGAGGGCUUUGGUACUAAUGUACAUGGCGAAGAGAUUGGUUUUUAACACUGAGAUUUACGCUGCACACGAGGUAUCUUACUAUUACAAAAUGGUAUUGUGGGUUAAAAAUUUAUGAUUUGGCCAAAAAGUUGUAAUAGUUCGAUCUGGGGUAUCAAACGCUUGUACAAUCAGCAAAUGGCACUUAUCAAUGUCAGUUUUUCCCCUUCUUUUUGCGUUAAUCAUGAUUAUUAAUAUUAUUAAUAUCGUUUAUAUAUACCCACACUUAUGAUUUGUUUGUGUUUUCAUAUUAAGUAUAAUGUAUUGUCAACAUAAAUGAUGUCAUCAUGUGACUCCUUAGGGCAUGUUCAAUUCGAUUAUGUCUGUAAUUACAUUAAUGUUCUGGUUCUACUUAUUUGAUGUGACAAUGCUACGAUGCAAUUGAUAUUUAGUUGAUUUAUUAAUUGCUAUAAUGAAGGAAGUAUGAAAUUUAGUUAAA